AGUGAACGCUGGCGGUAGGCCUAACACAUGCAAGUCGAACGGCAGCACAGUAAGAGCUUGCUCUUACGGGUGGCGAGUGGCGGACGGGUGAGGAGUACAUCGGAAUCUACUUUUUCGUGGGGGAUAACGUAGGGAAACUUACGCUAAUACCGCAUACGACCUACGGGUGAAAGCAUGGGAUCUUCGGACCUUGCGCGAUUCAAUGAGCCGAUGUCGGAUUAGCUAGUUGGCGGGGUAAAGGCCCACCAAGGCGACGAUCCGUAGCUGGUCUGAGAGGAUGAUCAGCCACACUGGAACUGAGACACGGUCCAGACUCCUACGGGAGGCAGCAGUGGGGAAUAUUGGACAAUGGGCGCAAGCCUGAUCCAGCCAUACCGCGUGGGUGAAGAAGGCCUUCGGGUUGUAAAGCCCUUUUGUUGGGAAAGAAAAGCAGCAGGUUAAUACCCCGCUGUUCUGACGGUACCCAAAGAAUAAGCACCGGCUAACUUCGUG
This 492-nucleotide ribosomal RNA is filed under the name uncultured bacterium. RNAcentral describes it as "partial 16S ribosomal RNA". It matches the Rfam family "Bacterial small subunit ribosomal RNA", at positions 29 to 507 of the family's 1533-position model. The record is from RNAcentral.